AGCGAACGCUGGCGGCAGGCUUAACACAUGCAAGUCGAGCGGGCGUAGCAAUACGUCAGCGGCAGACGGGUGAGUAACGCGUGGGAACAUACCUUUUGGUUCGGAACAACACAGGGAAACUUGUGCUAAUACCGGAUAAGCCCUUACGGGGAAAGAUUUAUCGCCGAAAGAUUGGCCCGCGUCUGAUUAGCUAGUUGGUGAGGUAAUGGCUCACCAAGGCGACGAUCAGUAGCUGGUCUGAGAGGAUGAUCAGCCACAUUGGGACUGAGACACGGCCCAAACUCCUACGGGAGGCAGCAGUGGGGAAUAUUGGACAAUGGGGGCAACCCUGAUCCAGCCAUGCCGCGUGAGUGAUGAAGGCCCUAGGGUUGUAAAGCUCUUUUGUGCGGGAAGAUAAUGACGGUACCGCAAGAAUAAG
RNAcentral lists this ribosomal RNA (418 nucleotides) under uncultured bacterium. RNAcentral describes it as "bacterial SSU rRNA". It matches the Rfam family "Bacterial small subunit ribosomal RNA", at positions 29 to 490 of the family's 1533-position model. The record is from RNAcentral.